CGUGAAGUCUAUAAGUAUAAACUGAAUGAGCUAUUCAUCAGCAACAUAUCAUGGUUUAUGCUGGAUUAUGGAAAGUGUGACUUUGCUAAGUCUAUACGCAUAUAUACUUGUCUGUAUAGUCUAUAUCCAUUUACUAAAACAUGUUUUGAUGCUAUGAAGUAUAGAUUUGAAUAAUUGAGAUAGUAUAAUACCUUGCAAUUGUUUGGUCGUUUGGUUGGCUGUUGUGUUGCUAUUGAAAUCAGCGGGAAGAAACUGAAAUAGAAACUGGUUGCUUUAACCUUUUGCAGGGAGGAACUAUGGAGGGAUGGAGAGAGUUAAGAAAACUUACCUAUCCGAAACUUGGCAGCUGGAAAAUCGGUUCACUCCUUUGAUUGCUGGUGAACAAAGACUGAAUAAGGGAGUUUGUUGGAUGGCUGACUUAUUGAUGGAGAGAGUUAGCUAAAUGGGAGUAUCUACUCUUCUAUGACAUGCUUGAAAGAUGGGCAGCAGGUGUAGGGUGGCUGACUGAGGAGAUGGCU
RNAcentral lists this long non-coding RNA (518 nucleotides) under Salvia miltiorrhiza (redroot sage). RNAcentral describes it as "long non-coding RNA (SMIL_LNC007724)". The record is from RNAcentral. Lineage: Eukaryota; Viridiplantae; Streptophyta; Magnoliopsida; Lamiales; Lamiaceae.